Molecule: long non-coding RNA, 266 nt
Organism: Microtus ochrogaster (prairie vole)
Lineage: Eukaryota; Metazoa; Chordata; Mammalia; Rodentia; Cricetidae
Exons: 3
Source: RefSeq, a predicted model, not a curated record
GAUGUGCGACCUCAUUGAGCCGCAGCCGAGCGAGAAGAUCGGCAGGAUGAAGAAGUUGAAGAGAACUUUGUCAGAGAGUUUCAGCCGCAUCGAUAUCAGCAGCCGACCUCCCAGGUCUGAUAGAAGGAGCACAUAUGAACAAAGGAAUGGGCCACAAGUUCCUCAAGCAUUUAGAGCGAACCAGACAACUGCUCUUUGUUGUUGAUAUUUCGGGAUUUCAGCUCUCUUCUGUAACUCCUUACAGAAGUCCCUUUGAAACAAUAAUA